AGUUGCGGGUGAGACAAAGAAAAAUAUUGUUGGAAAAUUUUAUUCUAAAAUUAAAGGAAUUUUGAAUAAUAAGGAGGAAUGUUUCAAGCUAGAAGAAGCCGCUACAAAACAGCAAAGACUCAGCAUGGUGGAUGGACAAAGAAAAAACUGGUUCAUCUUGAGAGUUAGACUGUUUUAAUCGGGAUAAUGAUGAAGUUUCUUUUGCCUUAACCCUUUUGAACAAUGAGACGACAACAAUGACGACAAAGACACCACCACCACCACCAACAACAACAACUCCAUGUGGGGCCAGAGAGCUAUGGGACUGAGAGGAGCAGCCUUGGAGCAAGAGUGGGGUGGAGGCAAUCCAAACCCCUGAAAUCUAAUCCUGAGAUCUGUAGAAGUAGGAAUACUGCCGCCUCUGCCCCGGGCCUGUAUGUACUGGUGCAUGCAGUCCAGUGCCCCCCACCCUUACCUUACCAGAGGAGGUCAAGUAGCCAGUGGCCAAUUUAAACUUCCUUUCCCCUUAUAAGUCAUGUGCAGCAGCACCUGGAAUUCCUCCUUAUGCAAAUGAGGCAUCCCCAGCCAAUGAGGUACACUCACCCUGAUAGCCCACCCCUUAAAGGUUUAAAUAGCUUUUUUCCUCCUUCCACAAUAAACUGAAUCAGCCUCUGAAGCUAA
This 660-nucleotide long non-coding RNA is filed under the name Mus caroli (Ryukyu mouse). RNAcentral's name for it is "lncRNA (MGP_CAROLIEiJ_G0013390.1)". The record is from RNAcentral. Lineage: Eukaryota; Metazoa; Chordata; Mammalia; Rodentia; Muridae.